CUCCUCUCAAGGUCGCACCUGGGGAGUUCCAAUAUUUUACCAGUCUCGGCUAUGGGAGGGAGAGUCAAGCAGAGGCCUACCCAUUCCAUUCCUAGCUUGGGCAGUGGCUAGCAAGUCGAAGGCAAUCUGCUACAAUU
This is a small nucleolar RNA of Tachyglossus aculeatus (Australian echidna), 137 nucleotides long. Lineage: Eukaryota; Metazoa; Chordata; Mammalia; Monotremata; Tachyglossidae. The record is from RefSeq and is a predicted model, not a curated record.